RNAcentral lists this ribosomal RNA (253 nucleotides) under uncultured bacterium. RNAcentral's name for it is "partial 16S ribosomal RNA". It matches the Rfam family "Bacterial small subunit ribosomal RNA", at positions 524 to 776 of the family's 1533-position model. The record is from RNAcentral.
UACGUAGGUGGCGAACGUUGUCCGGAAUUACUGGGCGUAAAGCGUGCGCAGGCGGUGAUGUAAGACAGGUGUGAAAUCCCCGGGCUUAACCUGGGAACUGCAUUUGUGACUGCAUCGCUGGAGUGCGGCAGAGGGGGAUGGAAUUCCGCGUGUAGCAGUGAAAUGCGUAGAUAUGCGGAGGAACACCGAUGGCGAAGGCAAUCCUCUGGGCCUGCACUGACGCUCAUGCACGAAAGCGUGGGGAGCAAACAGG